Molecule: RNA transcript, 723 nt
Organism: Cydia pomonella (codling moth)
Lineage: Eukaryota; Metazoa; Arthropoda; Insecta; Lepidoptera; Tortricidae
Exons: 3
Source: RefSeq, a predicted model, not a curated record
CUAUACGGCUUGUCAGUAUCUAUAUACUUGUUGAAAGGCUAGAUAAAAGUCUGGCCAUACCUAGUUGCUAAGCAAAUCCUGGGUUUCUAUACUUAGAACGCUGAACCAAAAAAAAAAGCCAAAAUAAAAAGGAUCUAAAUGUAAUUUCUUCGACAGCCUCACCCCACAAAAUCUGACGUCGCCGCGUUACCGCACUAUAAAACCAUGAAAACGAUAAGAAAUUAAUUGUUUCCCCAUGUUUUAUAAACAGCGAUCGUUGGCUUCUUAAUCGUUGUGUUGCCUCUACCGUGGCCGAACGCUUAUAAAUUUGCUCUAAACAUAGAUAAACGCUAUUGUUUCCGAGCUAUUUAACGUAGGCAGAAUGAAGUUCGUGAUUGUCCUCGCCGUAGCCAUAUUCGCUUUAGCUGCUGUUCAGUCAGCGCCAGUACCCGAUGACAAGCCCGUAGACGCUCCACCGGCCGCGCCGGCCGCCGCCCCAGCAGCGCCGGAGGUCGCUACGCGUGCUGCGUCGGAAACAUCGGCGGCUCCCGCGAAAGCCGAAGGAAGUUCAGCAGCGCCGACGACGCAUCCUCCGCAAUAAAAGAAGCCCAAGGGUAGCUGACAAGUACACGACACAAACGACUUCUAAAGAUCCCGUCCAAGUCGUUUACUAUGGGUGAAAACAACAAUAAAGCCCAACACGAAUGUGUAUAAAAUAUUUCGAAAUAAAUGAAAGAUAGAUAA